Unclassified non-coding RNA from Pongo abelii (Sumatran orangutan), 148 nucleotides. It matches the Rfam family "Metazoan signal recognition particle RNA". From Rfam's summary of the family: The signal recognition particle (SRP) is a universally conserved ribonucleoprotein. The record is from Ensembl. NCBI's taxonomy places the organism in Eukaryota, Metazoa, Chordata, Mammalia, Primates, Hominidae.
GCCAGGUGUGGUGGUGCACACCUGUAAUCCCAGCUACUUGGGAGGCUGAGGCACAAGAAUCGCUUGAACCUGGGAGGCUGAGGUUACAGUGAGCCGAGAUCACACCACUGCACUCCAGCCUGGGUGACAAAGCAAGACUCUGUCUCAA